GGAUGUGAGGGUGAUCUGGCUGCAACAUCUGUCACCCCACUGAUCAACCAGGAUUGAUUUGGCUGAUCUGGCUGGCUAGGCAGAUGUCCCCUUCCUCCCUCACCACUCCAUGUGUGUCCAUCCUGAAGCUGCAUGCUAAGUCGAAGAGGACAACCAUCCCUGGUAGAGGAGGAUCAUUCUUUGGUCAAGGGUAUAGGAGUAACUGCACUCCCCUGCUAGAACCUUCAAACAAGCUCUCAAGAAUCCUCUGUGCUAUCCCAUAAGUGAGCUCUUUGCUUCUCUCUGCCUCAAAAGGUAGGCACAUCCAAAGGACAGUCAUUAGCCUCCUAAUAUAUAUUU
Molecule: small nuclear RNA, 339 nt
Filed under: Castor canadensis (American beaver)
Lineage: Eukaryota; Metazoa; Chordata; Mammalia; Rodentia; Castoridae
Description: 7SK RNA (ENSCCNG00000016122.1)
Rfam family: 7SK RNA (bases 1-300)
About the family: 7SK was discovered as an abundant small nuclear RNA in the mid-70s but a possible function has only recently been suggested.
Source: RNAcentral